AAAUUGAAGAGUUUGAUCAUGGCUCAGAUUGAACGCUGGCGGCAGGCCUAACACAUGCAAGUCGAACGGUAGCACAGAGAGCUUGCUCUCGGGUGACGAGUGGCGGACGGGUGAGUAAUGUCUGGGAAACUGCCUGAUGGAGGGGGAUAACUACUGGAAACGGUGGCUAAUACCGCAUAACGUCGCAAGACCAAAGAGGGGGACCUUCGGGCCUCUUGCCAUCAGAUGUGCCCAGAUGGGAUUAGCUGGUUGGUGAGGUAACGGCUCACCAAGGCGACGAUCCCUAGCUGGUCUGAGAGGAUGACCAGCCACACUGGAACUGAGACACGGUCCAGACUCCUACGGGAGGCAGCA
Molecule: ribosomal RNA, 354 nt
Filed under: Salmonella enterica
Lineage: Bacteria; Pseudomonadati; Pseudomonadota; Gammaproteobacteria; Enterobacterales; Enterobacteriaceae
Also listed under: 1 other name
Description: bacterial SSU rRNA
Rfam family: Bacterial small subunit ribosomal RNA
Source: RNAcentral